RNAcentral lists this ribosomal RNA (186 nucleotides) under uncultured bacterium. RNAcentral describes it as "partial 16S ribosomal RNA". It matches the Rfam family "Bacterial small subunit ribosomal RNA", at positions 305 to 483 of the family's 1533-position model. The record is from RNAcentral.
ACGCCACACUGGAACUGANACACGGUCCAGACUCCUACGGGAGGCAGCAGUAGGGAAUCUUCCGCAAUGGGCGAAAGCCUGACGGAGCAACGCCGCGUGAGUGAUGAAGGUCUUCGGAUCGUAAAACUCUGUUAUUAGGGAAGAACAAAUGUGUAAGUAACUAUGCACGUCUUGACGGUACCUAAU